This 72-nucleotide transfer RNA is filed under the name Camelus dromedarius (Arabian camel). It matches the Rfam family "tRNA". From Rfam's summary of the family: Transfer RNA (tRNA) molecules are approximately 80 nucleotides in length. Their secondary structure includes four short double-helical elements and three loops (D, anti-codon, and T loops). Further hydrogen bonds mediate the characteristic L-shaped molecular structure. tRNAs have two regions of fundamental functional importance: the anti-codon, which is responsible for specific mRNA codon recognition, and the 3' end, to which the tRNAs corresponding amino acid is attached (by aminoacyl-tRNA synthetases). tRNAs cope with the degeneracy of the genetic code in two manners: having more than one tRNA (with a specific anti-codon) for a particular amino acid; and 'wobble' base-pairing, i.e. permitting non-standard base-pairing at the 3rd anti-codon position. RNAcentral also lists the same sequence under 1 other name. Lineage: Eukaryota; Metazoa; Chordata; Mammalia; Artiodactyla; Camelidae. The record is from Rfam by way of RNAcentral.
GAGGGUAUAGCUCAGUGGUAGAGCAUGUGCUUAGCAUGCACAAAGUCCUGAGUUCAAUCCUCAGUGCCUCCA